AACUAGAACAGGGAAGCACAAAGGCAGCUUUCAGGCGCAAACCAAGGAUUCGUUGGAUGGGGGAAGGUGGGGAUGGUUGCAGUCUAAGGUAUCAUAUGGAAACGGGAUAGUAUUUAACGGUUCUUCGAUAAAAAAUAACCAACGUUUGUUUAUCACACACCCUGCGCACCCCCCUAUGUACGCGACUGGCUAUGAGGCAUAUAAUUUCGCGUUAGCAGACCACGAAAAAACAGGGAUAGCUGCACCCCUCUGGCAGGGAUAGUUGUAUUGCCGUCCGUCUGUGACAAGCCAACGAAGAAUUGACUGGGAAUUUUAGAAAUGCCUAUAGUUGUGUGGGGAUUAUUGAUAUUAUCGCCAACAAGGCUUCUACAAUAGCUUCAAGGAAGGUUGGUCUAUGUGACCUAACAGGUUGCAAGUCCCACAUGGUUUGGCAGGAAAUUGAAUACUCACGUCCACUGAGCUAGAAACCCCUGUAGGGUUAUCCAUCCCUUACUGUUGGUCUCAGCAGCAUGUAUCACUUCAUCGCCCCAUGGAUUUGUGGGACACAUCUCAAACAGUUCCUACAUAUACACAACAGUAAACAGAAGAUGUAUUACAGUUCAGGCAACAAGGGAAAUCUUCAACAUAAAGUAUUGAUACAUUUCUUUUAAAUCUCCAGUCUGAAGGGAAAUGAUGAAUAAGGAGCACUUGGGGUCUCCGUGUGACACAUGCAGUAGACUUUUACAAACAAACCUCUAACUCUACAGGACUCAAAGCUUCAUCUUGAUCCUGAAAAAAGAAAUACACAUAAAUAAUUAAAUCUAUACUGUAUGUGCUAUUGGCUGUCAAAUCGUCUAUGUGAAUCUAGUAAUUUGAUAUAAGAUUCAUUUAUGCCCAAUAAAUUAUCACCAGAUAUAGUAAUUUCUGUUUAUUACCUUGUCGUAUUUGUUGAACAGAUCAAUAAGAAACUCAUAACCAGCA
This is a long non-coding RNA of Nematostella vectensis (starlet sea anemone), 960 nucleotides long. RefSeq lists it as uncharacterized. Lineage: Eukaryota; Metazoa; Cnidaria; Anthozoa; Actiniaria; Edwardsiidae. The transcript has 3 exons. The record is from RefSeq and is a predicted model, not a curated record.